AUACUUACCUGGCAGGGGAGAUACCAUGAUCACGAAGGUGGUUUUCCCAGGGGGAGGCUUAUCCAUCGCACUCCAGAUGUGCUGACCCCUGCGAUUUCCCCGAAUGUGGGAAACUAGACUGCACAAUUUGUGGUAGUGGGGGAUUGCAUCCGCGCUUUCUCUUG
RNAcentral lists this small nuclear RNA (164 nucleotides) under Echinops telfairi (small Madagascar hedgehog). Its description in RNAcentral is "U1 spliceosomal RNA (ENSETEG00000020924.1)". It matches the Rfam family "U1 spliceosomal RNA". From Rfam's summary of the family: U1 is a small nuclear RNA (snRNA) component of the spliceosome (involved in pre-mRNA splicing). Its 5' end forms complementary base pairs with the 5' splice junction, thus defining the 5' donor site of an intron. The record is from RNAcentral. Lineage: Eukaryota; Metazoa; Chordata; Mammalia; Afrosoricida; Tenrecidae.